This 5824-nucleotide long non-coding RNA is filed under the name Marmota monax (woodchuck). The record is from RNAcentral. Lineage: Eukaryota; Metazoa; Chordata; Mammalia; Rodentia; Sciuridae.
CUCACCUGCCACCUCCAGGGGGAUGUGAAGACGCUCUCGUGACCUCCUUCUGUGUGGCCUGCGUGUCCUGGUUGCACAGAAGCUGUGCGUGCGAGGAGGGCCAAGAUGCAGCUGCAGAACCUCACAUAGCUCUGGUCGUAAACCCAGACCCGGCUCAGGGGCGAGGCUCUAAUGCACUGAGCCGACAUGCAUUUUCACCAAGCACAGGCGUCUUCUCAGGAUCCACCAACAGAGGAUAAUCCAACCCUAGAGAGUCUAGGAGAACGGCACAGAAAGACUGUCCUGGCCCCCGGGGGAAGGCACGCCAGUUCUCCCACCCACAUGCAGCUAAAUGCCAACGCCUUGAAUUUGGUUCCCAUCUCACUCCCCAAAGGGCCCUUCUAGACUCUAGACCUGCACCCCUGCCAGAGAUCGUCAGGUACGGCUGACAGGGAACGUCCCCCCAGAAGCAGACAACACCCAGACGGGGACAGCUUCCCCAAGGUCGUGGCUGCUGACUCCCCUGCCAUCCCCAAAGCCUUGCCCCCCCCACCCCCACUGCCUGCUCUCUAACCCUUUUCUCGUCCCUACAGGAAAACCCAGGAGAGUUUGUGGAGGCCCAGAGUGACUUCCCCAGGGCUUUCAAAUCUUUGCAGUCAGUCCCCAGGUGUUCCCAGCUAGCCACAGAAGUGAGUGGCUCUUUGAAGCAGCCUGCUGAGUGGUGGCCUUGGUCUUUAAUUACUACUGUGUUUGGAACAAAGUCUGUGGCCAGCAGACAUCGGGGAGCGUCUGUGUCACCUGAACUUUGAUGCAUUUGAUUUUGAUGAGUCGGUGGAUAGGGACUCCUAUCAAGCAGUGACUCAGCCUCCUGUACGGAUCUCCUGAGGGGAAUUGGAAACAAUGGCUCCUCCGGCCCCUUGGGUCUUCUCAUCUUCUCCAAGUCUUUGAUGCCUGGUUGCAUGCAGCUGCUUGGUGACAAAAAUGCAUCACUGGCUGAACCGAUGCAAAACUCCAAGAAACAUGAGGACACUGAGUACACGAAUGGCACAUUGAAGCCCCAAAUCCAACAUGAUGGUGACUGACAGUUGUGCCUUGAGUUGUGGUCCCCGCGUGAGGUUCUGACCACAAGGGGGCGUUGGUAAGUUCAGGCCUGCGGAUGCCUCCGUGGUGAGUCCCCACCUAACGUGGUGGCUGAGUCCCCCUCAGUCCCAGCAGCUGACCAGCAGCCCCUGGCAGGUGGCCAGCGGACGCAAACGUGGCAAAACAAGGCAACCAACCGAACGGUCCCCGGCAUCCCUUCCAUUUUCUCUCCACCGGUGUCUGGGCGGCUGCAGCCCCCGGCCUUUGACAGGGGAGAAAGAGGAUGCGUUGGACGGCGCCCCGGAGCCCUGCCCCGGGCCGUGUCGGGGGGUGCGAUCGGAGCGGCCAGGCAGGGCUCUGGGUUUUGUUUGUUGGGGAGCCUCCGCAAGCCCUGCCCCGGCGCUGCACCCCCUGCCCCCUCCGUGCCGUGGACCCUGCAGCCUGGCCCUAGUCACCGUCAGCAGGAGCUUCCCGGGGCCAGCACUAAGGCUUCCUGGGAUAACCAGCUCCAGGGAGCAGCCAGCCCCCUGCCCCCGGAUUCUAAGUGGGUUAGAUGAAGUACUCGGGAGAGAGAAAAAAGAAUCCUUGAUGACAUGGGCAGCUCUCGGUCAGAGCGUUUCUGUGGCGCAUCAUCACUAGAGGUCAUUGUCAACUGCAAGUCAGAGGUUCCGAGCCACUCUGCCACUGCAGGGGGUCCCACCUAGAACGGCCUCGUGGGAGGGCUUGCUCAGAGACCACCCUUGCCUCCCACAGGAGGCGAGGCCACAGAGACAGAGAGCAGGAAGGAGCCGGAACCCGAACCCUAACACCACGGAGUCAGGAUGACACGGUGCUGGGUGGGAAAAACCUCCUGGCUGUUUCCGCAGCUGUUAUUUGGGGACUUUGUAACCUCGGUUGAACCUCUCUGAUUAAUAUACAACCUGGGGUGAGAACAAGAACUACAGAGAAGCAGGAAAUGGGGAGGAUUUUUUUUCAGUUUGGAAAGUGAAACAUUUCUGUUGACGUUCUUCAUUUUUUUUUUUUUUUAAUGACAAAGCAGCUUCUACACAGCAAACUUAAGUUCAUUGGAGGGAAUAUUUAGGAACUCUGAGGGAAAUGCAAUGUCUAGCCAAGGAUCCCAUAGCCCAGCUCUGCACUCUAGAACAAUUUGUGGUCGUUGUGUCAUUCACAGGCUGCUAUAUACAGUCUUGAAGAAUAAGGAGACAGGUGUGGUGGUGCACACCUGUAAUCUCAGCAGCUUGGGAGGCUGAGGCAGAAGGAUCCAGAGUUCAAGGCCAGCCUUGCAACCUAGUGAGGCCCUAAGCAACUCAGCAAGACCCUGUGUCUAAAUAAAAUAUAUUUUUAAAAAAGGGCUGGGAAUGUGGCUCAGUGGUUAAAUUCUCUGUGUUCAAUCCCUGGAAGGAAGAAGUAGGAAGAGGAGGAGGAGAAGGGAGAAGGAGAAGGGCUCAAUAUCUUGGGAAAUGCAAGUUUAAGCCAAAAUGAGGGCUGAGGGUGCAGCUAGGCGGCAGAGUGCUUGGUGAUAGGUCUCCAGCCUGGCUACCUGGCAGACUUUGGACUUGCCUGGACCUCCCAAGCCUCCACAGUCAUGUAAGCCAAUUCCUUGAGAUCUCUCCACCCCCUCUCUUUCCCUCUCCCCCUUCCUCCCUCCCUCUCCCACACACUAUGGGUUCUGAUUCUUUGGAGAAUCCUCACUAAUACAAAACUCAAGGAAGAGUGCAUAGGUCCAUCAAAGGGCUCCUACAAAGAUGUUCGUCGUGACUUGAUCCAUAACAGCCCCAGACCAGGGACAACCCGCAUGUCAAGCCAUGAGAGAAAGGAGAGGUGGACUGUGGUCUGAACCCCCUCACCCAGCAAGAGGAGUCCCCCAGACAUCCCACUAAGCAAAAGAAGCUGCCUCAGGAUGCACAGGAUGUGACUCCAUGUAAUUGGAAUUUUAAAGGCACCAACUAGUUUUGUGGAGUUGGAGGUCAGCACAGUGCCUGGGAGGGUACGAGCUAAGGGGCAGGAUGAGGGAAACUUCUGGAAUGCUGGAGUGGUCACAUGGGUGUGUGCCUGAACAAUAGCUCCCCACAAGUCCUCUCCAGAGCACCACACGCUACACUUUGGAGUCUGCUGUACGCCCAGAAGCAGGCUCUUCAUUACGCGGACGGAGUCAUCUUUCCGUAACUGGUUUCCGGCUCUCUUGCACUGUGUGCAGAAAACCUGCUUUGAUUUCAAUCCACUGAAGCAUUUUGAAGUCAGGCCCCACAGAGGAUCCACUCUGUGUGUCCUCAUGUCCUGGGAAUGAAGGUGUAUUCUGCAGGCCUUCAGAUCUUCAGAGUUCCUCUGACAGUUUUUCCUGCUAUUCUGUCAACUAUUGGAGGGUCAAAAUACUCCCCCCCCCAACAAUCUGGAAGGAAAUAUAAAGGACACAAAAUUGGCAAAUACAAGUGUGUAUGUGCAGGCACACGCACACACACACUCUUAGAAUGAUCGACACUGUGUGUCUCACGACCGUGAUUUGCUUUAAGUAGCUCAAGGCCAUGUUAUUAGAUGCACACAAAUUCAUAAUUUUUACAACUUCCUGAUAAAUACUGAACGUUUUUUCCCAUUCACAAAUUUCCGUCUGUAUUUUUAUUUCAAUUGAUUCAUUUAUUUUGUGGUGCUGGGAAUUGAACCCAGGGUCUUGCACUUACUAAGCAAGCACUCUACCUCAGAGCUGCCCCCAGCCUAUCCCUGUCUUGGAAGCUUCUCUAUUUGUUAUUUAUUUUCUUCUUCCAAGUGCCGUUGGCCUGGCAAGGAUAGAGAUGCCCUAGAUUUCCCUUGGUUGAUGCCUGUGUGGGGCACCUUCUUCUACUACCCUUCUAGAGUGUUCCUUGUUAACAGACUAGGAUUUGAUUUUCUUUUGUUUUUCAUUUUUUACAGUCUCCAUCUUUUAACGAGAGUGUUUGAAUCUAUUUAAACAUUUCAUUUUGAGAUGAGAUAGCAUCUUACGAUGUCACAGCCAGGACAUUGAUGUUGACAUGACCUAUGGAUCUUGCUUGGGUUUCCACAGUUUGGGUUGGCCUGGUGUCUGAGUUCUAUGCAAUUGCAUCCUCCCCUGGGUGGUUCCUAGAUCCACAGCACAGUCUGCAUACAGCAGCUUCAUACAAGGCCCAUAGACACCUUUUAAUAACCACUCCUGCUCCCCCUGACUCCUGUCCUUAAUCUCAGGCAACCACUAACCUGUUCUCCAUCGCCAUAAUUUUUUCAUUUCCAGGAUGUUACAUAAAUGGAAUCAAACAGUAUGUAACCUGUGGAGAUUAGCUUUUUCUCCCACUCAGUAGGAUUCUGCAGACAUUCCCCCAGCCUGUCACCAGUAUCCACAGCUCGUCCCUUUUCAUGGCUGAGUAGCUGUCCACGCCAUUAACAGCAGCCGUUGAGGGACAUCUGGGUUACUUCUACUUUGGGGCUAUUAUGAGUAAAACUGCUAGAAAUUGCACACGAAUGACGUGUAAAAUUUGUUAAGCGUUCUAGGUUGUUCUUUCUUUUUUUUACGGUGCUGGGAAAUGUGAAUCAAGUCCUUUGCCAUUGAGCUACACCCCCAGCCCCCAGAAUUUGUUUUUUUUUUGUUGUUGUUGUUUCUUUUUAGUUAUACACACCAUUAGGAUUCAUUUGACAUGAUUUUAAAAAUAUGGAAUAUAAUUUGCUCAAAAUCAGUCCUGAGUAUUCCCCUUCUCUCCCCCAGCCCCCAAAAUUUAAAAAAAAAUUCCUAUCAUCAACAUUCAUGUGCAAGUUUUUCAUGUGUGAACCUAAGUUUCCAUUUCUUUGGAAUAAAUUAUCCAGGAGUGCAAAAUUUGCUGGGUAGAAUGGUGAUCUGCCUAACCGUCUUCCAGAGCAAAGGUACCGAUUUACAUUCCCACCAGCAACAGAAGAGCAAUCAGCUUCCAGAACUCUCGCCAGUGUCCGCAGUGGUGAUUUUUCUAGCAGCUCUGAUAGGUGUUGGGAGGUCUCCUGGUGGUUUUAAUUUGCAUUUCCUGCCUGGCUGAGGUUGAACACCUCUUCCUGUGUGUCAUCGUUGGAGAAAUAUGUAGAGAUAGAAAUGUCUGAGGGCUCAGUACUGUGGGGUCUCAAGAGGGGUCUCCCCACUUGAGAGGGUCUCCCCUCACCCACAGGGGUUGCCUAAAAGCUCAGAGUGCCAAAUCCUCUGUCUCUGUGUUUUUUCCUAUAGAUAAAGUCUAAUUUACAAAUUAGGCACAGUAAGACAUUAACAGCCGUAACUAAUAUUAGAACCAUAUGACAAUAUACUGUCAUCAAAGUUACUUUAAAACUUAUGAAUUGUAUUUCUGGAAUUUUCCAUUUCAUAUUUUUAGAUCACAAAUAACUGAAACCAGGAACAGCAACACGGUUGGAGGCGGGGACACUUCUGGAGGCCGGGCCUUCACUGGACACAAAUAUUUCUCCCACUCCCAACUCGUCUUCUCAUUCUCUUAACAGGGUGUUUUCCAGAGCAAACUUUUUCGGUUUUUGUAAGGUGCAGUUUAUUCGUUUUUCCUUUUAUGGGUCACACUUCAGUAUCAAGUCAAAGAAAUCUUUGCCUGGCUCCAAAUCCUGAGGGUUUUCUCCCAUCUCUUCUCUUAAAGUUAUAUAAUCCCACACUUCCCGUUAAUGUUCGCGUAAGACGUGAGGUUUAGAAGACAUUUCUCUGUCGGCCUGUGGAAGCCUUUUUGCUGCCAGACCUUGUGUGGAAAGGGCUCUCCUUCCUCCACUGAAUUGUUUUGGCAUCUCUGUGAGUGAUCAGUAGAAG